AAGGUCUAGAGGGCCUGGGCUCCAAGCCCAAAGCCAUUGGGUCCUCAAUAUCAACUGGGUCUGCCAGCACCGAGAACACCAAGUUGUGCCGAGUUGGGACCUCCACUGCUGAGUCAAUCGAGUCUUGAGGAGGCAACUGUUGGAGAGCCACCUUGGCCAGCUUUUGCUAGCCCUUAGAGUCUAGAAGAGAGCUCGACGAACUCACAACUCUCGAAAGUGAGGUCGGGUGCUCCGAGUUCAUAGCUCAUUAUCCUUAAUAGAUGUCAAUUCUUGUUAAAAUUUUUAUUUUGAAGCAAUACCCA
This 302-nucleotide long non-coding RNA is filed under the name Elaeis guineensis (African oil palm). RNAcentral's name for it is "long non-coding RNA (EGUI_LNC016711)". Lineage: Eukaryota; Viridiplantae; Streptophyta; Magnoliopsida; Arecales; Arecaceae. The record is from RNAcentral.